GUAGUCAUAUGCUUGUCUCAAAGGUUAAGCCAUGCAUGUCUAAGUAUAAGCAAUUAUACCGUGAAACUGCGAAUGGCUCAUUAAAUCAGUUAUCGUUUAUUUGAUAGUACCUUACUACUUGGAUAACCGUGGUAAUUCUAGAGCCAAUACAUGCUAAAAACCCCAACUUCGGGAGGGGUGUAUUUAUUAGAUAAAAAACCAAUGCCCUUCGGGGCUCUUUGGUGAUUCAUGAUAACUUAACGGAUCGCAUGGCCUUGCGCCGGCGACGGUUCAUUCAAAUUUCUGCCCUAUCAACUUUCGAUGGUAAGGUAUUGGCUUACCAUGGUUUCAACGGGUAACGGGGAAU
RNAcentral lists this ribosomal RNA (346 nucleotides) under uncultured fungus. RNAcentral describes it as "SSU rRNA". It matches the Rfam family "Eukaryotic small subunit ribosomal RNA", at positions 20 to 370 of the family's 1831-position model. The record is from RNAcentral. Lineage: Eukaryota; Fungi.